CCUUGUACACACCGCCCGUCACACCACGAGAGUUUGUAACACCCGAAGUCAGUGGAGUAACCGUAAGGAGCUAGCCGCCUAAGGUGGGACAGAUGAUUGGGGUG
This 104-nucleotide ribosomal RNA is filed under the name uncultured bacterium. RNAcentral's name for it is "partial 16S ribosomal RNA". It matches the Rfam family "Bacterial small subunit ribosomal RNA", at positions 1379 to 1482 of the family's 1533-position model. The record is from RNAcentral.